RNAcentral lists this ribosomal RNA (26 nucleotides) under Schistidium brunnescens subsp. brunnescens. RNAcentral's name for it is "partial 18S ribosomal RNA". Lineage: Eukaryota; Viridiplantae; Streptophyta; Bryopsida; Grimmiales; Grimmiaceae. The record is from RNAcentral.
UUCCGUAGGUGACCUGCGGAAGGAUC